AUCAGUGACUGCUUGCACCGGUGCUUGUUGGUUGGAAGCAUGGUGGUGUCUAUCCAGCUAGUGUCAGAACCUCAACCUGGCAGAGACCUCUGGAGAUGGAGUCCAACCCCACUGCUGAAGCAGGGUCACCCACAGCAGCUGGCCCAGGAUAACAACAUCCAGCUCAUUUCCCUGCCCUGGACCUGGUUAUUGAAGGUGGAGCUUCUGGAGGUGGCUCAGCCCUGCAAGGACAGCAUGUCUGGCUGAAGAGAUGAAGGUCUGGCUAGUGCCAAGCAGCUGUUCUUUGGAAAUGAAGGUGAUCCCUGAGUGCUGAGGGACAGGGACAUCUUCCUUUCAUUAGUCUCUGUUACAGUCCUGCUCCCCAGAUCUCAGAGAGGCCAGGAGAGGUGGAGGAUUUGCUAUUUUCACAGUGUCACAGCAGUAGAUGCCAUGGGCUCAGUAUCUGAUGAGAAGUGGAGAGUAAAGGAGCUAUCUCCCCGGGGGGACUGAGGAGGUGAGGGAGAUACCUCCUCCUCCUCCUCAUUUCACUGAGCUCUCCUGCCUUUAACUGUGCCACUUCAACCCUCUUUCCCCCAAACUCCCUCUCCCAUGCUAAGUCCUUUGUUUUGCCCUUAGUAGGGGGGCACUCCCAGGACCCCUUUUGCAGCGCUCGCCCCAAAUCUGUGGGGAUUUGCUGCUUCUCGAGCGCUGCCCUUCUGCCAGAUCUGCUUUGAAGGCAAACAGAAUCCAAAGCUAAUAGCAGGCACUGAGGUGUGGAGAUGGAGUGGGACCUCAGAGGUCUUUUCUCCACAGAAAAUGAGAUAAAACACCCUUUAAAUCACCAAGAUUUCCAUUUCCCCCCUGGUGACCUACAGCUCUCCCAUCUCCAUACACAUCUUGUCCCAUACUCCUGUCUUCUACCUGCUCUUUCCACCUCAGAGAUUUU
This is a long non-coding RNA of Pogoniulus pusillus (Red-fronted tinkerbird), 925 nucleotides long. RefSeq lists it as uncharacterized. The record is from RefSeq and is a predicted model, not a curated record. Lineage: Eukaryota; Metazoa; Chordata; Aves; Piciformes; Lybiidae. The transcript has 3 exons.